CGGAGGGAUCAUUACCGAGUUAUACAACUCAUCAACCCUGUGAACAUACCUAAAACGUUGCUUCGGCGGGAACAGACGGCCCCGUAACACGGGCCGCCCCCGCCAGAGGACCCCCUAACUCUGUUUCUAUUAUGUUUCUUCUGAGUAAAACAAGCAAAUAAAUUAAAACUUUCAACAACGGAUCUCUUGGCUCUGGCAUCGAUGAAGAACGCAGCGAAAUGCGAUAAGUAAUGUGAAUUGCAGAAUUCAGUGAAUCAUCGAAUCUUUGAACGCACAUUGCGCCCGCCAGUAUUCUGGCGGGCAUGCCUGUUCGAGCGUCAUUACAACCCUCAGGCCCCCGGGCCUGGCGUUGGGGAUCGGCGAGGCGCCCCCUGCGGGCACACGCCGUCCCCCAAAUACAGUGGCGGUCCCGCCGCAGCUUCCAUUGCGUAGUAGCUAACACCUCGCAACUGGAGAGCGGCGCGGCCACGCCGUAAAACACCCAACUUCUGAAUGUUGACCUCGAAUCAGGUAGGAAUACCCGCUGAACUUA
RNAcentral lists this unclassified non-coding RNA (532 nucleotides) under Fusarium solani. Its description in RNAcentral is "sequence contains ITS1, 5.8S rRNA gene, ITS2". The stretch from base 167 to 320 matches the Rfam family "5.8S ribosomal RNA". Lineage: Eukaryota; Fungi; Ascomycota; Sordariomycetes; Hypocreales; Nectriaceae. The record is from RNAcentral.